GGGGAAAGAAAAAGUAAAGGACUAAAUUGUAAAGUUUGGUCACAUUUUGUAUCGAGUACUUAUCUAGUCACUCGGGGAUCGAAGGAAAUGUCGGAGGCCGAUCACACUAUCAAAGAAAUAACUCGGUAUAAUUAGACGUUUUGUUUUGUGUAUGGCAUGUAUAGAAACUUAGCCACUUUUGGUAUAAUAUGAACAAUGAAUGAUGUGUAAAUACUUGCUAGUGAUUAGCUAAUAAAAUGGCCGAUGAUAUGCAUGUUUAUUAAUAUGUA
Long non-coding RNA from Gossypium arboreum, 269 nucleotides. RefSeq lists it as uncharacterized. NCBI's taxonomy places the organism in Eukaryota, Viridiplantae, Streptophyta, Magnoliopsida, Malvales, Malvaceae. The transcript is spliced from 2 exons. The record is from RefSeq and is a predicted model, not a curated record.